This 460-nucleotide ribosomal RNA is filed under the name uncultured bacterium. RNAcentral describes it as "partial 16S ribosomal RNA". It matches the Rfam family "Bacterial small subunit ribosomal RNA", at positions 338 to 795 of the family's 1533-position model. The record is from RNAcentral.
CCUACGGGUGGCAGCAGUGAGGAAUAUUGGUCAAUGGGCGCGAGCCUGAACCAGCCAAGUAGCGUGAAGGAUGACUGCCCUACGGGUUGUAAACUUCUUUUAUAAAGGAAUAAAGUGAGGCACGUGUGCCUUUUUGUAUGUACUUUAUGAAUAAGGAUCGGCUAACUCCGUGCCAGCAGCCGCGGUAAUACGGAGGAUCCGAGCGUUAUCCGGAUUUAUUGGGUGUAAAGGGAGCGUAGAUGGGUUGUUAAGUCAGUUGUGAAAGUUUGCGGCUCAACCGUAAAAUUGCAAUUGAUACUGGCAGCCUUGAGUACAGUUGAGGUAGGCGGAAUUCGAGGUGUAGCGGUGAAAUGCUUAGAGAUCACGAAGAACUCCGAUGGCGAAGGCAGCUUACUAGACUGCCACUGACGUUGAUGUUCGAAAGUGUGGGUAGCAAACAGGAUUAGAUACCCGGGUAGUC